AGGGACUUAGGAUAAAUUUAGACCAAGAGCCUUCAAAGCUCUAAGUAGGGGUGAAAGCCCCCUAAUCCCUG
This 71-nucleotide transfer RNA is filed under the name Leptocypris sp. CBM ZF 11419. RNAcentral's name for it is "tRNA-Trp". It matches the Rfam family "tRNA". From Rfam's summary of the family: Transfer RNA (tRNA) molecules are approximately 80 nucleotides in length. Their secondary structure includes four short double-helical elements and three loops (D, anti-codon, and T loops). Further hydrogen bonds mediate the characteristic L-shaped molecular structure. tRNAs have two regions of fundamental functional importance: the anti-codon, which is responsible for specific mRNA codon recognition, and the 3' end, to which the tRNAs corresponding amino acid is attached (by aminoacyl-tRNA synthetases). tRNAs cope with the degeneracy of the genetic code in two manners: having more than one tRNA (with a specific anti-codon) for a particular amino acid; and 'wobble' base-pairing, i.e. permitting non-standard base-pairing at the 3rd anti-codon position. Lineage: Eukaryota; Metazoa; Chordata; Actinopteri; Cypriniformes; Danionidae. The record is from RNAcentral.